UCCAGCAUCGAUUCUCAGUCCCUCUCCUGCAGGCACGCCGCGAGUCUCCGCCGGGCGCCGCUGCCCUUCUGAUGCCUGCUCGUGGCCACCGUCUCUCCGCUCGCCUGUGGCCGCCGUCUCUCCGUACGGUGCAGCCGCUCGCUCGUCCGCCCUUAAAAGCCGCCUCUCCCCGCCUCCUCCAAACCCUCGUUUCUCUCAUGCGCUGCGCCGUCGCGUCUCUUCGACGCCAAAUCCGAGACUCCGAUCUCGUGUUCACCGCAGCGCGUCAAGCACCCGACUCCUAGUCCAAUCCGCUCUACUCACCUCGCGUCAGGUGGUCCACUCCUCGAGAUCUCUCGCCUCGGAAUUGUCUCUUGUUUUUUUUUUCUGUGCUAGCUUGCCUUGCUCGAUCUGGAGGGGUGGUGGUGUUUGCGUGGGUAUUGGUUGAUCUGGUGGUUCUGGCGUUGGAUCUAUGGUGAUUCGUUUUAGACUUUAACAAAAGAUGAAACAAAAAUCUGAGCAAUUUAGAUCUUGGAAGCCUGCCCGUGAAAAGGAAGUACUUCAGGAAGGGAGACGAAAUGAAUAUGAGAUGCACAAACUCUUGGCCUUGAAUCAGAGACAGAAAAUGGUUUUACAGCGGAAAACUGAAGAAGCUGCAUCUACUUCGAAAAGAUUGAAGGAGUUGCUGGAAGCAAAGAAGUCCACCCGCAUAUAAAUAUGAACUCCUCCCAGCGAAAAUUUAGGAUGGAGUCUUCUCUGCUAUCAUGCCUCCUGAGGCCCUUGAUAUUACUCGCAAGUUCAUAAACAAACCUGUGAGGAUCCUUCAGCAGUGCUGUACUGAUGUAUGCUUGUCCUGAGAUUUCUUACAUGUGCAUUGGCAAAAAUGCAUACUCUGCAAUAUUUAUGUAUUAUAUUCCAUGAUCUGUUGUUAUUCAGAAAUAGUUAGUGAUGUAUUGUUGUAUGCUUGGAUCAUGUUUGAUUGGUCUGAGAAGUUAACAGCUAAGAAAUAUAGAACCACAACCAAGUUAACAGCUAAGAAAUAUAGAACCACAACCUUGGCUAAGUUGGCUCGCGAGCCAAGCCAAACCGACUCAGACGGCAAUGAGCCUGAGCUGAGUCCAUAGUCUAGCUUGGUCACCUAGCUGAGCCGAGCCUGACAUG
Molecule: long non-coding RNA, 1140 nt
Organism: Phragmites australis (common reed)
Lineage: Eukaryota; Viridiplantae; Streptophyta; Magnoliopsida; Poales; Poaceae
Exons: 4
Source: RefSeq, a predicted model, not a curated record